Molecule: ribosomal RNA, 482 nt
Filed under: uncultured bacterium
Lineage: Bacteria
Description: bacterial SSU rRNA
Rfam family: Bacterial small subunit ribosomal RNA
Source: RNAcentral
AUUGAACGCUGGCGGCAUGCCUUACACAUGCAAGUCGAACGGCAGCACGGGAGCAAUCCUGGUGGCGAGUGGCGAACGGGUGAGUAAUAUAUCGGAACGUGCCCAGUCGUGGGGGAUAACGUAGCGAAAGCUACGCUAAUACCGCAUACGAUCUAUGGAUGAAAGCGGGGGAUCGCAAGACCUCGCGCGAUUGGAGCGGCCGAUAUCAGAUUAGGUAGUUGGUGGGGUAAAAGCUUACCAAGCCUGCGAUCUGUAGCUGGUCUGAGAGGACGACCAGCCACACUGGAACUGAGACACGGUCCAGACUCCUACGGGAGGCAGCAGUGGGGAAUUUUGGACAAUGGGCGCAAGCCUGAUCCAGCAAUGCCGCGUGCAGGAUGAAGGCCUUCGGUGUAAACUGCUUUGUACGGUACGAAACGGACCGUUCUAAUACAGGGGUUAAGUGACGGUACGUAACGAAUAAAGCACCGGCUAACUACGUG